Molecule: ribosomal RNA, 483 nt
Filed under: uncultured bacterium
Lineage: Bacteria
Description: bacterial SSU rRNA
Rfam family: Bacterial small subunit ribosomal RNA
Source: RNAcentral
UAGUCCUAGCAGUAAACGAUGCUCACUAGGUGUCGGUGGAUUCGACCCCAUCGGUGCCGUAGCUAACGCGUUAAGUGAGCCGCCUGGGGAGUACGAUCGCAAGAUUAAAACUCAAAGAAAUUGACGGGGCCCCGCACAAGCGGUGGAGUAUGUGGCUUAAUUCGAUGCAACGCGAAGAACCUUACCUAGGCUUGACAUGUAGAGUUCACCCGUGGAAACACGGUGUCCCGCAAGGGAGAUCUUCACAGGUGCUGCAUGGCUGUCGUCAGCUCGUGUCGUGAGAUGUUAGGUUAAGUCCUGCAACGAGCGCAACCCUCGUGAUUAGUUAUACGCUUCGGCUCACUAGUCAGACUGCCCUGUUCAACGGGGAGAAGGUGGGGAUGACGUCAAGUCAGUAUGGCCCUUAUGCCUAGGGGCUGCACACGUACUACAAUGCACACUACAGAGGGGACGCGAGACCGCGAGGGUGGGAGCAAAUCCCAG